This 492-nucleotide ribosomal RNA is filed under the name uncultured bacterium. RNAcentral's name for it is "partial 16S ribosomal RNA". It matches the Rfam family "Bacterial small subunit ribosomal RNA", at positions 29 to 507 of the family's 1533-position model. The record is from RNAcentral.
AGUGAACGCUGGCGGUAGGCCUAACACAUGCAAGUCGAACGGCAGCACAGUAAGAGCUUGCUCUUACGGGUGGCGAGUGGCGGACGGGUGAGGAAUACAUCGGAAUCUACUUUUUCGUGGGGGAUAACGUAGGGAAACUUACGCUAAUACCGCAUCCGACCUACGGGUGAAAGCAGGGGAUCUUCGGACCUUGCGCGAUUGAAUGAGCCGAUGUCGGAUUAGCUAGUUGGCGGGGUAAAGGCCCACCAAGGCGACGAUCCGUAGCUGGUCUGAGAGGAUGAUCAGCCACACUGGAACUGAGACACGGUCCAGACUCCUACGGGAGGCAGCAGUGGGGAAUAUUGGACAAUGGGCGCAAGCCUGAUCCAGCCAUACCGCGUGGGUGAAGAAGGCCUUCGGGUUGUAAAGCCCUUUUGUUGGGAAAGAAAAGCAGCAGGUUAAUACCCCGCUGCUCUGACGGUACCCAAAGAAUAAGCACCGGCUAACUUCGUG